AUUGAACGCUGGCGGCAUGCUUUACACAUGCAAGUCGGACGAGUGGCGAACGGGUGAGUAAAGCAGCGGAACGUACCGAGAAAUGGGGGAUAAAUGGCAGAAAGGACAGCUAAUAACGCAUAUUAUGCGAGCGGCAGAUGUUUGAUUGGCUGGUUGGCGGGGUAAAGGUCCACCAAGGCGACGAUCCGUAGCGGGUCUGAGAGGAUGAUCCGCCACACUGGGACUGAGACACGGCCCAGACUCCUACGGGAGGCAGCAGUGGGGAAUUUUGGCCAAUGGGCGCAAGCCUGAUCCAGCCAUGCCGCGUGUCUGAAGAAGGCCUUCGGGUUGUAAAGGACUUUUGUCAGGGAAGCGGUACCUGAAGAAUAAGCACCGGCUAACUACGUGCCAGCCGCCGCGGUAAUUC
Molecule: ribosomal RNA, 406 nt
Filed under: uncultured bacterium
Lineage: Bacteria
Description: partial 16S ribosomal RNA
Rfam family: Bacterial small subunit ribosomal RNA
Source: RNAcentral